GAGGGGAGGAACCCACACCAUUCCAGUCUCAGCUGGUGACUAGCCAGCAUUGAUUCGACACACGAAGAAGAUAUUUAAACAACAUUGCCGCUAAUAGCGAAACAUCAAACUAGUAUUUUACAAUUCGAGCUACACUGAGGCGGAAGGCAGCGUGCACCCCGGACAAGUCGCCACCUCAUCACGGUGAAAGCAAAACAGGAUCCUUCCGUGGUUCAUGGACGACCAGAGCAGUCAGGGUGACAAUCAGGAUACUGGGUGUCACGCCCCAAGUCCGACCCAUUCGCAUCAUGGUUCCCUCCAUGAUAUACCUUGUAUUAGUCAGCCCGGAGGAAAUCGGGAUUCAUACUAUGAGUAUGAGGACAGCCGGAUCAAGUCUGCGAAUCCACAGAACACGACCCCUGGGAGCAACGACAGUAUAUUUUGCUGCUGGAGGUCUACCCCCAAGUCCAGUGCGUAGUGCAAAUCAGCGGUGAAAACUGUGAUUAGCAAAGCAUGCUUUUUUUACAAAGUUGCUACCUUCCCACCACCACGGACAUCUUUAUCGGCAGAUGCAGUAAGACGUCUCUCUGCAUUGCGGAAGGAUUCUAGACCGAGGAACAUAUUUUCCCAAGAUUGUCUUUGUUGAUACUAUGAUAAUAAAGAGAUUUUGAAUCCAU
Molecule: long non-coding RNA, 656 nt
Organism: Nerophis ophidion (straightnose pipefish)
Lineage: Eukaryota; Metazoa; Chordata; Actinopteri; Syngnathiformes; Syngnathidae
Exons: 3
Source: RefSeq, a predicted model, not a curated record